This 76-nucleotide transfer RNA is filed under the name Nitrospiraceae bacterium. RNAcentral describes it as "tRNA-His". It matches the Rfam family "tRNA". From Rfam's summary of the family: Transfer RNA (tRNA) molecules are approximately 80 nucleotides in length. Their secondary structure includes four short double-helical elements and three loops (D, anti-codon, and T loops). Lineage: Bacteria; Pseudomonadati; Nitrospirota; Nitrospiria; Nitrospirales; Nitrospiraceae. The record is from RNAcentral.
GUGGGUGUAGCUCAAUUGGCGGAGCACUGGAUUGUGGUUCCAGUGGUUGUGGGUUCGAGUCCCAUCACCCACCCCA